This 84-nucleotide small nuclear RNA is filed under the name Solanum tuberosum (potato). The record is from RNAcentral. Lineage: Eukaryota; Viridiplantae; Streptophyta; Magnoliopsida; Solanales; Solanaceae.
GUCCCUUCGGGGACAUCCGAUAAAAUUGGAACGAUACAGAGAAGAUUAGCAUGGCCCCUGAAUCGAGAAAUGGUCUAAAUUUUU